CGACGAUAGCUCAGUUGGCAGAGCAUCGGACUGAUAAUCCGACGGUGGUGGGUUCGAUUCCCACUCGUUAACCA
RNAcentral lists this transfer RNA (74 nucleotides) under Nocardia sp. RNAcentral describes it as "tRNA-Ile". The stretch from base 3 to 68 matches the Rfam family "tRNA". Rfam says of the family: Transfer RNA (tRNA) molecules are approximately 80 nucleotides in length. Their secondary structure includes four short double-helical elements and three loops (D, anti-codon, and T loops). The record is from RNAcentral. Lineage: Bacteria; Bacillati; Actinomycetota; Actinomycetes; Mycobacteriales; Nocardiaceae.